GUUGAUUCCAAUUGUCUGAUGCUGAAGAUGUAAGGCCAAAACCCAUCAUCUGUAAGGUGGAAUCGAUCAACAAGCUGUCACUUCCUCUGGCUGAUUCACUCUUGGGUGACUUCUGUGCAUCAGCAAAACCCAGAUUCCUGCAUCAUUAUGAGCUGCCACGGAACAAGGAGAAGAAGCAAUCGGUGAUGAAUCAAUAGAACUACUCCACCAGUUUUCACCACAAAUUCUAGCUUGAAACUCUUCAGCCAUGGCAGCCUUUAUUUCUUCUUGUCAAAUUGCAGACUUGUUUGUACCUGUGAGCUAUGCUAGCUUCUUGAGUUACGUGCUGAAUAUAAAAAAUAUAUGACUCAGAAAUAUAGGUUUAUUUGCAAAAGAGAGGGUUGGAUGUUAAGUGAUUUUAUAUAUGAAACGGUUAGAAGGGUACGAACAAUGGUGAUUACCGGAAUCCGGUUGACAUUACAACGGGAUGAUUGGACAAAUGAGAGAGAGAAUUUUGAAUCAUAUUCUAAUUCUUCUUUUCUUAAAAACAAAUACAUAUAUAUAUGUAUGUACUUGGCUGUGAAUUUGUUUCUUUCAUAA
Vigna angularis (adzuki bean) is the source of this 579-nucleotide long non-coding RNA. RefSeq lists it as uncharacterized. The record is from RefSeq and is a predicted model, not a curated record. The transcript is spliced from 2 exons. Lineage: Eukaryota; Viridiplantae; Streptophyta; Magnoliopsida; Fabales; Fabaceae.